CGGGGGAAGGGGGGGGGCGCGAGCGGUGUCGGGAGUCACUGGGCGGAAAGGGGGCUUGGGUGGCCACCAUAAGGCCGCGGGGAACGGUCGGGGCUCAACCCCGGAUCGGCCGCGGCUACUGUGGGGCUGGGGUACUGUAGAGGCAGAUGGAAGUCCGGGUGUAGCGGUGGAAUGCGUAGAGAUCCGGAAGAACACCAGUGGCGAAGGCGGUCUGCUGGGCAGUGGGAGCGAGAGCUCUCUUCAACCGACACUGAGGCGCGACAGCGUGGGGAGCAAACAGGAUUAGAUACCCCGGUAGUC
Molecule: ribosomal RNA, 300 nt
Filed under: uncultured Halopiger sp.
Lineage: Archaea; Methanobacteriati; Methanobacteriota; Halobacteria; Halobacteriales; Natrialbaceae
Description: partial 16S ribosomal RNA
Rfam family: Bacterial small subunit ribosomal RNA
Source: RNAcentral